This 139-nucleotide ribosomal RNA is filed under the name Amphisiella sp. 1 FG-2016. RNAcentral's name for it is "5.8S ribosomal RNA". It matches the Rfam family "5.8S ribosomal RNA". Rfam says of the family: 5.8S ribosomal RNA (5.8S rRNA) is a component of the large subunit of the eukaryotic ribosome. It is transcribed by RNA polymerase I as part of the 45S precursor that also contains 18S and 28S rRNA. Functionally, it is thought that 5.8S rRNA may be involved in ribosome translocation. Lineage: Eukaryota; Ciliophora; Spirotrichea; Stichotrichida; Amphisiellidae. The record is from RNAcentral.
AAAUUCUCAACGAUGGAUAUCUUGGUUCCCAUAACGAUGAAGAACGCAGCGAAGUGCGAUAAGCAAUGCGAAUUGCAGAACCGUGAGUCAUCAGAUUUUUGAACGUAACUGGCGCCUAUUGGUCUUCCGAUAGGCAUGC